CCCCCCACUCAAAGCAAGCAAGCCAACAAACAAUGCGUUUACGUACCUCCUAUACAAAGGGGGCCUCAAACCCGGAAGCCACCGGAUUCAGCGAGCACUUCAGAAAAUGUCUGCACAUGACCUUAUGGAAAGUUUGAAAAGUUAGAAAUAGGCCAAGUGUGUCUUGAUCCAUUCUUCUGAACACGCCUCUUCUGCUGCUGGGAAGGCCUAGCUCUGAAUUGUCUUGACACUGGGGGGAGAAGGAGCUGGCAGUGAGCUGACCUCUACCAAAGUGACCCGGAUCCGGAAGCCAGUGGAGGAGAGCCUGGGGCUUGGUAGAGGCAGCAUAGAUCAGGGAUAAGAACAUAGCCCGAGGCUCACCUUUCACUGCAACCAAGAAGAUGUAUAACCUUGAGUGAGACACCUAAUUUCUCUAUGGCUCCUUUCUGCAUGGAUAAGGUUAAACUAGGAAAAACACCAAAUUCUUGAUUGUGAGGAAUUUUUCAACAGAGAAUAAAAGACCAUAAAUGCCCAUGAGCCACCCUGCCUCGGAAAGCCAGAGAGCCCCUGGAUUAAAGUUUGCAAAUUAGAGGAUGAGUCGAAACAUCUGAAAAUGGGUGACAAGGCAAACUUUAUACAACAAACGACAGAGCUAUGUAACUACGUGAAAAUAGAGAAAUAGCUGGAUAAAAAGAGCCAUGUGAAUGAUGGAUGGACGCACAGAUGGAUGCAUGAGAAGGAAGGAAAUAAGGAAGAAAGGGAGAAAGGAAGGAAGAAAACAGACCAAAAUGUUGUUGUAGUUGAUCUCCGGGUGGCAGAGAGCUUCACUUUUACUUAAGACGAGUAACAAAAGAGAACAAUGGGCACUGGCAGCAGUGACGUCUUGGUGUGGAGAAAUCAGCAACCAGCCUCAGACGGGCAGACUUCCUUAUCCUACCAGGAACUCGCAGAAAGGAACAGUUUCCAUCUUCCACUUUAAAGGCAAAAGAGCAGUUUUGACCCUAUGUAUAUAUCACAGUGCAUUCUGGCUUCUACUGGGGCAGAAACUUCCCCGAAACCCUACAAGGGCAGCUGUUUCUCAUUAAGAAGAAUCCAUCCCUGAUGAAGGUGAUAAUAAUGUUUCCAGGGACGCCUGUUCCGGGUGUCUCUCUGCAGUGAACUUGUGAACUCUUUGACUUCCUGCUCUAAGAGGAAGUCUGCUCUCUGAAGUGCUCUGAUGUUUCUCCUCUCUUUACCCAGCUUUUCAGUUGAUUGUGGAGACUUUCCAGAGUUUCCAUUCGUUUUGCCCCUAUCCCGCUGUCUCAGCAACCUAGUAUGAGAGGGAAAAAACCACUAGUAUUUUUACAAUCCAUGUGAAGAUAUAUCAAGCCAGCCAUUCACAGCUGAAUUUCCACAUAACUCCAUGGGUUUGGCAGAAGAACAAAUGUCAAAUUUUGGCAAACAUUUUUGGCAUAGUCCACACUGUGAUAUAAUAGCAAGGCCAUUAAAAGGUUAAAAUAUUUGUAUCUUGGGUAGGCAUAAUACAUCUUUAAUCUCUAAACAUCCCUUACCGUGUAGCUCGUGGUUUGCUACCCUCAAUGUCUACUCCCACUGCAUCUCUCUGCAGGGGUCUUCUGAGGAAUGAUCAGUUAAUAAGGCCACAGGAAGUCUAGCUAUACUUGUCACUUUCUCUGGAUCAGGAAAUGAGGCCUUCUUCUAGCAAAGAAUAAGUGACUCAAGAUGGGGAGCAACAAAUUGAGAAUAAUUGAGAAGUCUUCUGUUGACAGACACAGGAUUUAUCAGUUUAAGGACUAGUUGUCCUUUCAAUCCUGGAUAAAUUCCCAUCUGGCUUGAGUAGUAUGGACUGUUUUUAUUUGUUUGUUUGCUGGAAAAUAAUAUAGAUAUGACUGAGUUUUUAAUAAGCCUCAAUACUUGGAUAAGUACAGAAUGUGACAAGGUUGAAGAUGCUGUAAAUCAUUCCCAAUGAAGGAAAGGAGAGAAGGACAGGUGAACCUGAGUUCAAAGGCAACACACAACUUCCAAGAACUCUUUGAUGGAAGACCUCUUCUGAGAGAGGAAGAUAUUUACAAAUGAGGAGAAAUAUUCUAUAAUAAGAGUGUGCACCAUACAGUAUAGGAGGAUAGAGAAAGAAAUGACUCUUUCUAUGGCUCUGUAGGGGAGUCAGUGGAAGCAUUUGGGCUAAAUGGUGGAUGAGUAGGAUUUGCCAGAAGGGGAAUGGGUGAGAGAGAAUUCCCUGCGGAAGGAACAGCAUACGCAAAGGCACAAAAUUGUGAAGAAACAGGGUGUGUUCAGGGAAAGCCUAGAAUUUGAAAUGGUUUCAGUAUAAUAUACAUGGGAAGUUGGCCAUGAAGGAUCAUGUUGAAUUUUAUCCAUUGAUCAACUAAUGAUGGCUGUGGUUGUUUUGUCCUAUAUAUGUUGAUCAGGUUAUCUAUUUUUUUUUGGAUUUUUAUGCAAAUGGAAUAGCUCAGAAUUACCAGAAUAAAAAAUCAUGUAAACAUAUUUUAAAAUCAAAUAGUGCAAAAAACUUAUAAGAAAAACAAGAGUUCUUUGCCCCAGCCUUCCACAUCCUCAGUCCCGUUCCCCAGAAGCAGCCAUAGUCAACCUUUUGGGAGAACCAUGUCUACCUUCCACCAAAUGCUUGAUCCUUAUCUACCAUAAUAUAAAGUCAGUGCAAUAUGUCUAAAAAUUAGACUAGAGCUGUCCCAGUUCUCCCAAUUGUGGUAUCACAAUUUUUGGUUAAAUCAAUAUUUACAUUAUUACAUAUUUCCCCUUGAGUCAAAAUUAUAUUAUUUUCAUUUGUUUAGUUUUUAUGUACUUCUUGCUAAUUCUCCUCAUAUAUUCCAACAUAUGUAUGCUCCAAAAUGCAAUAUAAUAUCUCAGAUUUAUUUGUUUAUCAUUUAUUUUUUUCCCUUGGUGACAUCCUUUCUGGAAUCUUUUGUCUUCCUGCUUCAGUCUGAGCUGGUUGCUUUCGAGACUUGCUGUAUGACUAUCCUCCUAGGAUUUCUUCCUCCUACUCUUCUGUGUUGGAUCCCCUGAUUCCCUGAUCGCAUAUGUAGUAGUUUUAAAACACAGCUGAAAAUGCUUUGACACUCUUCCCAUCAAUGGUAGUAUCUAUGUCCCCUCCUCUUGAAUCUAGGUGGGCUUGUGGCAGCUUCAAACACUAGAGGAUGGCAGACGAGAUGCUACAUGAUUUUUGAGGCUGGAUCAGAAAAAGCCCUGAAGCCCUGCCUUGUUCACUGGGAACACUUGCUCUAAGAGUCCUGAGCUUCCAUGUACUAAGUCCAACCACUCUGAGACCGCUGCUGGAAGAAUACAUGUAGAUGCUCCAGUAGACGGUCCUACCUGAGCCUGUCCUUCAGCCAUCCCAACCCGGGGGCCAGACACGUGACUGAAGGACCAGCGUGGAAGUAGAUCCUUUAGCUCCUGCUGUUCCAGUCUCCAGCCAUUUGAGUUACUCUCAGGAAUGCGAGUCAUUCCAGCUGAGACCUCAGAUAUUGUGGAGGAGAAAAGAGCUAUCCUUGCUGUGUCCUUUUUGAAUUCCUGACCGCAUAAUAACUUUUUUAUGCCACUACAUAUUUGGGUGGUUUAGUGCACAGCAAAAUAUAACCAGCAAACCAUAUUUUCUUUCCUUCCUUCCUUCUUUCCUUCAUUGUUUUUGUUUGUUUGUUUAUUCUCUUCUUUUGGUAGAAUAUAUCCACCAGUGUUUUUCUGAGAAAGAAUAUAUGGGAGGUAAAUUUUUGAGUAUUUUUCUAUCUGAAAAUGUUAUUUUAACCAUUCAUUUGAUUGAUGCUUUGACAGCUUAUAGAAUUUUUAUUUAACCUUUUAAGAUAUUACUCCUUCGAUUUCUAGUAUCCUAUGUCCCUAUUAAGAGAAACAAGGUCAAUCCAAUUCCUGAUCCUUUGUAUGUUAUCUGCCCACAUUCAUCCCUCCCGAGAAGGUUUUUAUUUUUUUUAAAAAAAUUUCUCCAUUUGCAACAAUGUGGCUGGACCUUGAGGGUAUUAUGUUAAGCAAAAUAAGCCAGACAGAGAAAGACAAACACUGCAUGAUUUCACUCAUAUGUGGAAGAUAAACAAACACAAGGACAAAGAGAACAGAUUAGUGGUUAUCAGAGGCGGGGGAGGGUGGGUGAAACGGGUAAAGGGGCACGUUUAUAUGGUGACAGAUAAAAAUUGGACUAUUGAUGGUGAGCACAAUGCAGUCUAUACAGAAACUGAUAAAUAAUAAUGUACACCUGAAAUUUCACAAUGUUAUAAACUGUUAUGACCUCAAUAAAAAAAAAGUUCUCUUGGUAUGAAAUUUCACAAUGCCUGGAUGUUGCUCAUGUUUCUAUUUAUUUUUGCUGUAUUUAUUUUGCUCUCAGUGAGUUUUAAUCUGGAG
RNAcentral lists this long non-coding RNA (4356 nucleotides) under Equus caballus (horse). Its description in RNAcentral is "lncRNA (ENSECAG00000050620.1)". The record is from RNAcentral. Lineage: Eukaryota; Metazoa; Chordata; Mammalia; Perissodactyla; Equidae.